UACGGAGGGUGCGAGCGUUGUCCGGAAUCACUGGGCGUAAAGCGCGCGUAGGCGGCCCGGUAAGUCCGUUGUGAAAGUCAAAGGCUCAACCUUUGAACGCCGAUGGAUACUGCCGGGCUAGAGUCCGGAAGAGGCGAGUGGAAUUCCUGGUGUAGCGGUGGAAUGCGCAGAUAUCAGGAGGAACACCAAUAGCGAAGGCAGCUCGCUGGGACGGUACUGACGCUGAGGCGCGAAAGCGUGGGGAGCGAACAGG
Molecule: ribosomal RNA, 253 nt
Filed under: uncultured bacterium
Lineage: Bacteria
Description: partial 16S ribosomal RNA
Rfam family: Bacterial small subunit ribosomal RNA
Source: RNAcentral